GAUGAACGCUGGCGGCGUGCCUAAUACAUGCCAGUCGAGCGAACAAACGAGGAGCUUGCUCCUCUGACGUUAGCGGCGGACGGGUGAGUAACACGUGGAUAACCUACCUAUAAGACUGGGAUAACUUCGGGAAACCGGAGCUAAUACCGGAUAAUAUAUUGAACCGCAUGGUUCAAUAGUGAAAGACGGUUUUGCUGUCACUUAUAGAUGGAUCCGCGCCGCAUUAGCUAGUUGGUAAGGUAACGGCUUACCAAGGCAACGAUGCGUAGCCGACCUGAGAGGGUGAUCGGCCACACUGGAACUGAGACACGGUCCAGACUCCUACGGGAGGCAGCAGUAGGGAAUCUUCCGCAAUGGGCGAAAGCCUGACGGAGCAACGCCGCGUGAGUGAUGAAGGUCUUCGGAUCGUAAAACUCUGUUAUUAGGGAAGAACAAAUGUGUAAGUAACUAUGCACGUCUUGACGGUACCUAAUCAGAAAGCCACGGCUAACUACGUG
RNAcentral lists this ribosomal RNA (497 nucleotides) under uncultured bacterium. RNAcentral's name for it is "partial 16S ribosomal RNA". It matches the Rfam family "Bacterial small subunit ribosomal RNA", at positions 28 to 507 of the family's 1533-position model. The record is from RNAcentral.